ACGGGAGGCAGCAGUGGGGAAUAUUGGACAAUGGGCGAAAGCCUGAUCCAGCGACGCCGCGUGAGUGAAGAAGUAUUUCGGUAUGUAAAGCUCUAUCAGCAGGGAAGAUAAUGACGGUACCUGACUAAGAAGCCCCGGCCAGCUACGUGCCAGCAGCCGCGGUAAUACGUAGGGGGCAAGCGCUAUCCGGAUUUACUGGGUGUAAAGGGAGCGUAGACGGUAUGGCAAGUCUGAUGUGAAAACCCAGGGCUCAACCCUGGGACUGCAUUGGAAACUGUCAAACUAGAGUGCAGGAGAGGUAAGUGGAAUUCCUAGUGUAGCGGUGAAAUGCGUAGAUAUUAGGAGGAACACCAGUGGCGAAGGCGGCUUACUGGACUGUAACUGACGUUGAGGCUCGAAAGCGUGGGGAGCAAACGGGAUUAGAUACCCUGGUA
This 434-nucleotide ribosomal RNA is filed under the name uncultured Lachnospiraceae bacterium. RNAcentral's name for it is "partial 16S ribosomal RNA". It matches the Rfam family "Bacterial small subunit ribosomal RNA", at positions 341 to 792 of the family's 1533-position model. The record is from RNAcentral. Lineage: Bacteria; Bacillati; Bacillota; Clostridia; Lachnospirales; Lachnospiraceae.